RNAcentral lists this ribosomal RNA (253 nucleotides) under uncultured bacterium. Its description in RNAcentral is "partial 16S ribosomal RNA". It matches the Rfam family "Bacterial small subunit ribosomal RNA", at positions 524 to 776 of the family's 1533-position model. The record is from RNAcentral.
UACGUAGGGGGCAAGCGUUGUCCGGAUUCAUUGGGCGUAAAGAGCGUGUAGGCGGCCAGGUAGGUCGGUUGUGAAAACUGGAGGCUCAACCUCGAGACGCCGGUGGAAACCAUCUAGCUAGAGUCCGGAAGAGGAGAGUGGAAUUCCUGGUGUAGCGGUGAAAUGCGCAGAUAUCAGGAAGAACACCCGUGGCGAAGGCGGCUCUCUGGUACGUGACUGACGCUGAGACGCGAAAGCGUGGGGAGCGAACAGG